AUGAACGCUGGCGGCGUGCUUCACACAUGCAAGUCGAACGGAAAGGCUCCUGCUUGCAGGGGUACUCGAGUGGCGAACGGGUGAGUAACACGUGGGUGAUCUGCCCUGCACUUCGGGAUAAGCCUGGGAAACUGGGUCUAAUACCGGAUAGGACGAUGGUUUGGAUGCCAUUGUGGAAAGUUUUUCGGUGUGGGAUGAGCUCGCGGCCUAUCAGCUUGUUGGUGGGGUAAUGGCCUACCAAGGCGUCGACGGGUAGCCGGCCUGAGAGGGUGUACGGCCACAUUGGGACUGAGAUACGGCCCAGACUCCUACGGGAGGCAGCAGUGGGGAAUAUUGCACAAUGGGCGCAAGCCUGAUGCAGCGACGCCGCGUGGGGGAUGACGGCCUUCGGGUUGUAAACUCCUUUCGCUAGGGACGAAGCGCAAGUGACGGUACCUGGAGAAGAAGCACCGGCUAACUACGU
RNAcentral lists this ribosomal RNA (463 nucleotides) under uncultured bacterium. Its description in RNAcentral is "partial 16S ribosomal RNA". It matches the Rfam family "Bacterial small subunit ribosomal RNA", at positions 29 to 506 of the family's 1533-position model. The record is from RNAcentral.